This is an RNA transcript of Camponotus floridanus (Florida carpenter ant), 820 nucleotides long. RefSeq lists it as uncharacterized. The record is from RefSeq and is a predicted model, not a curated record. The transcript has 5 exons. NCBI's taxonomy places the organism in Eukaryota, Metazoa, Arthropoda, Insecta, Hymenoptera, Formicidae.
AAGAUAACGAUUUCGUUGUAUUAAUGAGAGCUUGCUAUUUCCAGUUUGACUGCAUCGAAAGAAUAAAUAAGAUUAAGUGUAUUAAUUAUUAAAUACACAUUUAAGUGUUGAUACGCGUUAAGUGCACAAGUAUUAAUACGCGAUUAAGAACACGUUUAAGUGUUACGCAACUGAAUAUAAGAACACGAUUAAAAUUUAUUUUCAACAGAACUUUGUUGAGUGAAAUUAUUGGCUAUGUUGAUAACAUCGAAUCUCCACGUUGCGUGGGCUCGCAACAACAAUAUAAGUUCUUCAAAUUUUAUUUAAAUAACGGAAAAGGAAAAAGGGUUCAAAUUGUUGCCUGGAAUGAUGACAUUGAUUUUGUGGAACAUCAUAUAAAAGUAAACACUAUUAUUCAUUUGGAUGGUACUCAGGCACGUCCGCCAAAAAUACCUCAAUUCAACAAUGGUAAUAUGCCGUAUGAGCUAUUAAUAAAAUCAAAUACAAUAAUUUCAAAUCUUGGAAAAUUUGAACCAAUGGAAAUAGUAGAUACCACACCUAAGACAAUUGAAUUAUCUGAUGUAUUAAAUGCUACAAAAAAUCGCAUUAUAUUGAGAGGAUACGUAAAGACGAAUUUUGCUGAAGUAUAUAACAACAACAUGAACAAAAUUAUUGGAUGUGGUGCAAUAACUGAUGGCACAUUCAAACUGGAAAUUCAUGUAAUAAAUUUUAGUAACGAUGAUUAUACUUUACUUGAUAUUAGAAAAGGUGAUCAUGUAGAAAUUAUUGGUAUCAUGCAAACUACAGGAUCAGAAUAAGAGAAAUUCAACUUCCACGUCCA